CAGCCGCCGCGGGAAUACGAAGGGGGCUAGCGUUGCUCGGAAUGACUGGGCGUAAAGGGCGCGUAGGCGGUUUGCACAGUCGGGUGUGAAAUUCCUGGGCUUAACCUGGGGGCUGCAUUCGAGACGUGUAGGCUUGAGUGGGGAAGAGGGUCGUGGAAUUCCCAGUGUAGAGGUGAAAUUCGUAGAUAUUGGGAAGAACACCGGUGGCGAAGGCGGCGACCUGGUCCUUUACUGACGCUGAGGCGCGAAGGCGUGGGGAGCAAACAGGAUUAGAUACCCCUGUAGUCCCUGUCUCUUAUAC
RNAcentral lists this ribosomal RNA (301 nucleotides) under uncultured bacterium. RNAcentral's name for it is "partial 16S ribosomal RNA". It matches the Rfam family "Bacterial small subunit ribosomal RNA", at positions 509 to 807 of the family's 1533-position model. The record is from RNAcentral.